ACAGCAUCUUUAACAGGUCUAGGCCUCAGUGCAGUAGGCCAAGAUUUGGUAGCUGGUGCUGACAGGUCUCUCCCUGUAACAUUCCAUUGAGUACUGCUGUCGUGGACACUCAAGGAGAAAAACGUCU
Molecule: small nucleolar RNA, 127 nt
Filed under: Hucho hucho (huchen)
Lineage: Eukaryota; Metazoa; Chordata; Actinopteri; Salmoniformes; Salmonidae
Description: Small nucleolar RNA SNORA30/SNORA37 family (ENSHHUG00000043358.1)
Source: RNAcentral